This 253-nucleotide ribosomal RNA is filed under the name uncultured bacterium. Its description in RNAcentral is "partial 16S ribosomal RNA". It matches the Rfam family "Bacterial small subunit ribosomal RNA", at positions 524 to 776 of the family's 1533-position model. The record is from RNAcentral.
UACGGAGGGUGCAAGCGUUAUCCGGAAUCACUGGGUUUAAAGGGUGCGUAGGCUGCUACAUAAGUCAGGGGUGAAAGUUUGUCGCUUAACGAUAGAAUUGCCCUUGAUACUGUGCGGCUUGAAAUUAGGUGAGGUUGGCGGAAUGUGACAUGUAGCGGUGAAAUGCGUAGAUAUGUCAUAGAACACCGAUUGCGAAGGCAGCUGGCUAACCUAAAUUUGACGCUGAGGCACGAAAGCGUGUGUAGCAAACAGG